UAAGCCAAGGUGAAUCCACAUAGGUGGCCAUU
Molecule: non-coding RNA, 32 nt
Filed under: Mus musculus (house mouse)
Lineage: Eukaryota; Metazoa; Chordata; Mammalia; Rodentia; Muridae
Source: RNAcentral